CUGAGAAGUAAAUGCAAAGUUAUUUAAUCUUAUUUUAAGAUGCUGUUUAUUCUUUUUACCUACUUUUUUUUUUGCUUCAAGAGAUGAAUCCACACCUAUAGUAUAAAGAAAUGGUUGGUGUAUUUUUAUUGAGCAAAGUUGUUACAUUAUGCAGCUAGGUAUCGUACUCAGUGUUAAGUUUGGCCAUCGGCAUAUUGUGCUUUUAUUAUAUUCAUCUGCUGUCCUACUCGAUGCAGGAAGGCUCUCUACUUAAACACAACUAACUGCACUGUGCUGUAGAAGAGACACUUGUAACCAAAGUAAGGCGGGCAAGAGCUCCAUAUUGAGGAAGUAUUUUCAACGCAUACAUUAAUUCAAGAUGGCCUUUCCAAAAACCUCGAUGGCAACUAAAUAGCUCAAUUGAACUGAAUCUUGGACUAUGGUGGGAAGGGGCAAGGGUGGUCUGUGUUCACACCACUGAUUUCCAAAUACAUUUGCAAAGUAUAAUAUUAUUCUCCAAGAGUGUUAUAGGGAAUACAAGGGUUUAGAACUUUUGAUUUCACAGACAGAUGUAUCACACGACGAACAAAAUGGAACACAGCUUGUUUUGAACAUUUGAUGGGGGGGCGCACAUCCUACCAAAUAAUAGAUUAAUUUCUAACUUUUAUUUUUAUUUUUUUAUCUUCAUCUGCAUACAUUUUUCACAGCUUGUAAGUUGGGGUUUGUUUGUUUACUGACACCCACCGUUUUAAGAUUCGCUUUGGGAUGUUGUGAGUAGGGAAUUUGAGUGUAUGUGUGUGUGCAUUUUCUGGUGUCUGUAAUAUCUUUCUUUUUUUGAGGGGGGGGUUAUGUGGAUGGCAAACACUUUUGCCUUGUUUGCCCACACUUAGUUUUAACAACUAUAUUAAGACAAUUUACAGUUUUUUUCUUAUAUACAUUCACGUAUAUACAUUCAAGUGUGUGUGUGUGUGUGUGUAUAUAUAUGUUUAUCCAAAUGAAGUACAUAAUCAGUUCUUGGGGUGUAUUGAAAUGUUUACCAUACUCUCUUAAGGCAGUCAAAAUGAAGUGGGUAUAUUUUAUUUUUCACUAUGACUUCUACUAAGCAUGACCACAUCCACGGGUGCAGCUCACCUUGCCUGUGAAAACAACAGUGGUAGCCAUACACUUAACACAGGCUUGUAUGAGCCCUGCAUCCUUCCCUAACACUUACUGUUGAUGUGCUCAUAUUGUAUGUACCCAUGUUUAAAGAAAAAAAUAGUGUAUUCUUGAAAACCUCAAAGAUUGUACUAUAUUUCCAGCAUCACACCAAGGUACCUGGAGUGGUUAAAGCUGUUCUAUAAUUUAUGGUUUAUUAAUGGAACCGUAUUAUACACACAUGUAUGUAUAUUGGUAUGUAUCUAAGUUUGUGUCUACCCCAACUUACAGUCCCACAAACUAAUGUUGCCAUUUCUUAAGUUCAAGGGAGCAAUGUACAAGCAGAGGAGUGUCUUAUUAUAAUAAAAUUAUACAGAGAAAGUUAAAUAAACUUUUUGUUUUAAUGGAAAAUCUGGUUUUGUUUUGAUUUUAUUAUGAAUUGCCACACCCUGUAAAGAAGAGGUGGACACAAAUUAAAUCUAUUAUUUUAACCACCUGGGCAAUGAUAGGUGGUUCUCUGC
Molecule: long non-coding RNA, 1634 nt
Organism: Oncorhynchus tshawytscha (Chinook salmon)
Lineage: Eukaryota; Metazoa; Chordata; Actinopteri; Salmoniformes; Salmonidae
Source: Ensembl